Molecule: ribosomal RNA, 384 nt
Filed under: Triticum aestivum (bread wheat)
Lineage: Eukaryota; Viridiplantae; Streptophyta; Magnoliopsida; Poales; Poaceae
Description: partial small subunit ribosomal RNA
Source: RNAcentral
AUGGAGAACGGCUGUAAUCUUCGGCAUGUGAAGAACAAAUUUAUUGGAAUUUGUUGUCAUUCCUCAUCUUCUGGUCUUGUUCUUGAUGCCGAUUUUACUUCUUCACUCUGUUUGAUCAAUCCAUCUCGCCACGCGCACAUGCCCGAUGGAGCAAUUCACAAAACGCAAGUAUUUAUUAGAUCUUUGAUUGAUUGCAGGAAGACAAAACAAAUUGAACAAUCUUCUGAUCGGAUUUUCCUCUUCUACGGAUGUACGCAUGACCAUGGAUUCUUGCCAUGGACAGGAUUGUGGCUGAUUGAAUCAGUAGCGACAUGCUUUCUCCUCUUAUCGUGUGGCCAUUUUCUCGACGGAGAGCAAAAGUGCGUGAUAACCUGUUUAAAGUAA